AUGGAAAAAAAGCGGAGCAAGCAAUCUUGUACACUUGCUUUUCCUUUCUUUCGUUGUUCAACGUCGCCCCAACACCGCUUGUAACGAUAAAGUAGUACCCUAAUGAAGAAAUAGUUUUUUUUUGGAAAAAAAAAGAAAAGAGAAAGAAAUGUUCCUUUGAUUUUUUUG
Molecule: non-coding RNA, 168 nt
Filed under: Climacostomum virens
Lineage: Eukaryota; Ciliophora; Heterotrichea; Heterotrichida; Climacostomidae
Source: RNAcentral